This 241-nucleotide ribosomal RNA is filed under the name Clostridioides difficile. RNAcentral's name for it is "partial 23S ribosomal RNA". It matches the Rfam family "Bacterial large subunit ribosomal RNA", at positions 2429 to 2669 of the family's 2925-position model. The record is from RNAcentral. Lineage: Bacteria; Bacillati; Bacillota; Clostridia; Peptostreptococcales; Peptostreptococcaceae.
CUGCGUGGAAGGGCCAUCGCUCAACGGAUAAAAGCUACCCUGGGGAUAACAGGCUUAUCUCCCCCAAGAGUCCACAUCGACGGGGAGGUUUGGCACCUCGAUGUCGGCUCAUCCCAUCCUGGGGCUGUAGUAGGUCCCAAGGGUUGGGCUGUUCGCCCAUUAAAGUGGUACGCGAGCUGGGUUCAGAACGUCGUGAGACAGUUCGGUCCCUAUCCGUCGCAGGCGUAGGAAAUUUGAGAAG